This 1221-nucleotide long non-coding RNA is filed under the name Apteryx owenii (little spotted kiwi). RNAcentral describes it as "lncRNA (ENSAOWG00000005186.1)". Lineage: Eukaryota; Metazoa; Chordata; Aves; Apterygiformes; Apterygidae. The record is from RNAcentral.
CCAGGGAAGGAGAAGAAGGGCCCCUUGCUGGAGGGGGCCCCGCUGCGCCUGAAGCCCCGCAGCGUCCACGAGCUCUCCGUGGAGCAGCAGCUCUACUACAAGGAGAUCACGGAGGCCUGCGUGGGCUCCUGCGAGGCCAAGCGAGCCGUGAGCGCUCUGGGGACGUCCCCGGGUCCCCAGUGUCCUCCCCGGCGUGUCCCCGGGUCCCCAACGUCCUCCUCAGGAGUGUCCCUGUGUCCCCGGGUCCCCAACGCCCUCCCUGGAGCGUCCCUGGGUCCCCUGUGCCCUCCUCAAGGAUGUCCCGCUGUCCCCAUGUCCCCAACGCCCUCCCCGGGGACAUCCCGCUGUCCCCAGGUCCCCUGCGCCCUCCCUGGGGUGUCCCCAGGUCCCCUGUGCCCUCCCCAAGGAUGUCCCGCUGCCCCCAUAUCCCCAAUGCCCUCCCCGGUGACGUCCCACUGUCCCCAGGUCCCUGGCGCCCUCCGUGGGGAUGUCCUGCUGUCCCCAGGUCCCCUGCACCCUCCCUGGGGUGUCCCCGGGUCCCCUGUGCCCUCCUCAAGGACAUCCCGCUGUCCCCGGGACCCUCCCAGGGAACAUUCCGCUGUCCCCAGGUCCCCAACACCCUCCCUGGGGAUGUCUUGCUGCCCUCAGGUCCCUGGCGCCCUCCCCGGGGACAUCAUGCUGUCCCCAAUGCCCUCUCCGGGGACAUCCCGCUGCCCCCGUGUCCCCAGCACCCUCCCUGGGGACGUCUCGCUGCCCCCGUGUCCCCAGCGCCCUCCCCGGGGACAUCCCCCUGUCCCCAGGUCCCCAGCGCCCUCCCUGGGGACACCCCGCUGUCCCCAGGUUCUCCUCAGGGGGGUCCCACUGUCCCCAGCGCCCUCCCUAUGGGUGUCCCGCUGUCCCCGUGUCCCCGGCGCCGUCCCUGGGUCCUCGGCGCAUCCGCUGACCCCCGGCGCCGUCUCCGUGUCCUCCUAGGAAGCCCUGCAGAGCAUCGCCACCGACCCGGGUCUCUACCAGAUGCUGCCGCGCUUCAGCACCUUCAUCUCGGAGGGGGUGCGCGUCAACGUGGUGCAGAACAACCUGGCGCUGCUCAUCUACCUCAUGCGCAUGGUGAAGGCCCUGAUGGACAACCCCACGCUCUACCUGGAGAAAUACGUGAGUCGGGGCCCCCCCGUCCUUCCCCCCCCCCACACACACCAUAACCCCGACGCCCCGGGGGCCGCG